This is a non-coding RNA of Psilocybe cubensis, 99 nucleotides long. NCBI's taxonomy places the organism in Eukaryota, Fungi, Basidiomycota, Agaricomycetes, Agaricales, Agrocybaceae. The record is from the annotation of a RefSeq genome assembly.
GGGCACAUGGUGUAGUUGGUUAUCACGCUCGCUUAGCAUACUCGUCAUUAUUCAUUUCGCAAAUGCGAGAGGUGUUGGGUUCAAUUCCCAAUGCGUCCA